Molecule: long non-coding RNA, 1717 nt
Organism: Gadus macrocephalus (Pacific cod)
Lineage: Eukaryota; Metazoa; Chordata; Actinopteri; Gadiformes; Gadidae
Exons: 2
Source: RefSeq, a predicted model, not a curated record
GCAGGCCUGCCUUAACCUGCCAUUAGGCCCUGGGGCUGAGAGGUUUCGUAGGCCCCCUGAUAGUGGGUCUUACAAUGAAAAUGUGUAAAUGCCAUGUGUCUAGAAUGCAAAACGUAUUAGUGACCCUCUCUGAGCCACAUAACAUCGCAAUAUUUAUAUUAGUAGUUUAUAGAUUACCAAAUAAUUAAAGGAACGCCAAGGUAAAACCAUGGCGCAGGAAAGUUUGAUUUAACUCCAUAUUACCAAAAUAAAACGUGAUCCGGUCUGCAGAAACACAAACACACCUAAUAACAGCAUAUUAAAAAGUAAGAGCUUCCUCUUUGGCCUCGGCAGCCUUGGGAAUCCAACACGCGCGCACACACACGCGCGAUUUCGCACGUGUUUCCAAUUAGAAAAUCCCACACUGCCAAAUGGUGAUAUUUCUAUGCUUUGGCCAAAAAGAUUGCUUGUAAACUAAACAAAGUACCUUUUGGAUGGUGAAUAGCACAGCCACUCUCUGGGCAGAUACUCCACAUUGCAGAGCUUCCGCUGGAAGUAUGCCCUCGAGAAUAAUAUUCUCUGAUGUAUGUACUAAUGUUCUGAGGCAGAGAGGUCAGAUUCUUUGUUUUGGCACAAUUCUGGUCCCAUUUUCGCCCAGUAGACGCGCACCUGUAAAUCCAUCGUGUUACCGCAGCAACCCGGGUCAGUGCUAUAGGGGUCGUCUCCUCCACAUGAGUGAGGUGAUGGUCCUCCUCCUGCUGUGUGCUCGUCCUUUUCUGCCUCUUCUCCAUGGCUAGCAGAAGAACAGCCAGAAGAACAGCUUGGCUCAGAGCACCAUCUCGCUCAUCGUUGGUUAGCGAGGCUCCGUCACCGGCAUCGCCACUGGCUAUAGGUCCAUUCACACUCUAUGUUAAAUACAGAUGGGAACCCUUUCGUCCGGUGCCGGAGGUCGUUUCGUACGUCAUUGGGUCCGUGGCCUGUGAGCUUACGAAUCCGGAGUGCUCCGGGAGAAACGGAGCAAUACCAACGGAAAUCGAGAAGUGGUCUUGGCUGCCUGCCGAGAAACUCACCUGAAUGGAAUUUAUGUGGCUGCAAUUUCCCAUGCAGCAGUGUCUUUGUCAUUGUUAUAAAGGCUUAUCAUCAGUAACAUUAACUUUACCAUGGGUUUUUGCAAGUUAUAUUUGGGUUCUAGGGAUAUAGUAAGACAUAUUUAUUAUAUAAAAAGUCAAUUGUUAGUUAAUUUCACUGAUAUAAAGGAAAUUACAAAAAUAAGCCAACGGCAAGAAUUCAAUAAAGUGCCCAGGACGCCAACUCGGGUUGCCUGUAGUACAGGGCAGAUACUAGACCACUCACCCAACUGCUGGUUCCCAAUUUUGAUAGAAUACAUACAUUUGUAUAAAAAUUAGUGCUGUCAAGUGAUACAAAUAUUUAAUGGUGAUUAAUCGCAUCAAUGCCAUAGUUAACUCAAGAUUAAUCACAAUUUUUUUUCUAUGCUAAAUAUCCCUUGAUUUCUUUGUCCCAUAAAUUUCUCAUUUUAAUGCUCUUAUCAACAUGGAGAAGUGCAUCGGCUUGCCUUGUGCAAAUGUUUUCUUAUUGAUAACAACAUUGGCAUAUACUGAUCAAAACAGGAUGAUACAAAAAAAAUGCCUAUAGUGCAAUUAAACGAUGAUAACAUACUGCCUUGAACAUAGCAAUCGGGCUACUGCUGCUUUGUUUUGAGGCAAAGAAAAAAAAAUAA